UUUAUUCAUUUUUAUUAAUAAAUUGCAUGAACUUAGAUCAAUCAAAUAAUGAUAUUUCUAUACAUAUGGAAUUAUUCGGCCUAAUCAGUUUGUCCAUUUAGAUUUAUCUAGGUGGAAUAAUAAGAAAAGGUAAGGUUCAAAAGAAUUUACAAAAAAGGGGUUUUUUUGAGUAUUUUAGAAAGGAUCGGUUAGGAGAGGGAGGUAUCUGUAAUUGAAUAACUAUAAGCCAACCCUUCUAGCAAUGGGGCCUAGGGACCGAUAUGAUGAUUGGUUUAGGUAUGGCGGUCGGCCUACUACGG
This 299-nucleotide long non-coding RNA is filed under the name Nicotiana benthamiana. RNAcentral describes it as "long non-coding RNA (NBEN_LNC022049)". The record is from RNAcentral. Lineage: Eukaryota; Viridiplantae; Streptophyta; Magnoliopsida; Solanales; Solanaceae.